Long non-coding RNA from Ictalurus punctatus (channel catfish), 2286 nucleotides. NCBI's taxonomy places the organism in Eukaryota, Metazoa, Chordata, Actinopteri, Siluriformes, Ictaluridae. The record is from Ensembl.
GCGCGAUUUACAACGCGAUGCAAGUGCUUCUUAUGAAGUGUGAGAAUCGGGAAGUUCUUGUGCAUGAAGCAAGACUUUAAGUUUAAAAUCACAAUGGAGCCACUGAGCAGUGAGACUAAGCGUACUCGUCAGACUUACAUCUGAAGACCAAACAUCUGUGGUGAAGUUCAUCGCGGAGUGGUUAUGAAGAAGCUCGUGAAUAUGAUCUGCCAUACGGUUGUAUAACUCCGAAAUCAACUCUGAUAGUGUCACCCCUUUGGUGGAACGCACCAUUAGGAGUGACUGAUCUAGAUCAGACUGAGCGACUUUCCAGUAUCGGCAGAAGAUGGUCGGUGAGGAUGCAUCAUCUUCAGUCCUGGAUUUCUUCCCUCGUUUCCUUGCUGUAUCUGGAUUGAUCGACCAGGAUUUCUCCAUGAUGUUUGUUGACGAAGUGUCUCAGAAGUUCCUGGCAAAGUGGUCAACAUUCUUCAAGCCAAAAAUCAUUGCACACUGCAAGACUCUUAAGAAUAUGGGCGAGCUGCUGUCAGGAACUGAACCUGAACCUGAGGACUACAAUGUGAUGUGUCCUCAAUCCUUUUGCUGCUGCAUCUGUUCCCUCUAACCUCAAGAGGCCAGGAAAAAAACAUCCAAGAUCAGUUCAGCUCAAGCAACCAGCCAUCUUGUGAGCUGUCUUAAGGAAGGAGCCAGUGUGACUACCUUCAUUGAGAGUGCUGACACAAGACAACCAUUUCUCCUCUGCAUCGGUGAGCAAAAGAAGGACAUCAGAAGUUCUACGUUAUCAACCAAAAGGCGAACCCAUGAAGCUGCAUUAAUCACGAUGAACCCAGGCUAUGCAGGCAGGACCGAGCUCCAGGACAACCUGGAGGCCCGCUUCAGAUCCGUCUCCAUGAUUGUACCCGACCACGCCGUCAUCGCAGAGAUGUGCUCUGGUGCCGUCAUUCAUUACAUUUUGUAAUGAACGCAAUAACGGAUGUAUUCUGGCGUAUUACAGAACCGUUUCCACGUUGAACCCGCUUGUUCACGUUGUAGGUGGACUUGUGAGCUGAGGGCUUCAAGUCCAGUGAGACUCUGGCGAGGAAGAUGAUUCAGCUGUAUAAGCUGUGCAGCAAGCAGCUUUCCCAGCAGGACCACUACGACUUCAGCAUGAGAGCCAUGUUCUGUUAUCGCCAUGGCCGGGUCUCUGAAGCGAGAGAACCCACACCUGAGAACGUGGUGUUGAUUAGAGCGCUACGAUACUCCAACCUGACCAAGUUACUCAAGGAUGUUGCAGAACUUAAAAUAAUAUAAAUUGAUAAAUAGUAAAGAACGCCAAAGCUUACAUAUGGAGUAUCAAAGGUCAUUAUCACAGGAUCACUGGAAUCAGGCACUAGGAGGAAAUUCCAGGACAAAUUAGGAAAUACAGUCAAACCUUGGACUGCGAGUAACUUGGUUUGCGAGUGUUUUGCAAGACAAACAAAAAAUUUGAAUAAAUUUUAACGUGAUAUACGAGCGAGGUCUUGCAAUACGAGUACCUGUAGUACGUAUAUGAUGCUUUGUCGAGCGUCACGUGAUCACUACUGAGCUGAUGAUUCUUCUCUCACAUGCUCUGUCUCAGUCAGCGUGCCUCGUUGACUUGUAUAGUCAACAUCUGUGUGAGCAUAUACUGUUUGCUAUAGUGCUGUAACUGUUGUGACUGUGUAGUAAAUGUGCUGCGACAAUGGCACCAUGAAGAAAAAAUUUGAAAAGGAAGGCGAUAAGAAAAAGGAGAUUAUGGUGGAACUUAAGAAGGAAAUCAUCGAGAAGCACAAACAAGGUAUGCGAGUAGCUGAGUUGCGAGUAGUCAGUUGUCGAUGAAAUUGUGUCCUUGGGAAAGACCAUGGGACUGGAGAUGAAUGAAGAUGACAUUCAAGAGCUGGUGGAGGAACAUGGCCAGGAGCUGACUACCGAUGAACUGAUGGAUCUGCAUCACGAGCAACAGCAAGAGGUUAUGGGGGAGGUCUCGUCUGAGGAGGAGGAGGAGGAGGAGAAAAGACGGAGAAAUCCCUCACUUCAAAUGAGAUUAGGGAGGUGUGUAAAAUGUGGGAAACAGCGCAAAAUUUUGUAGAAAAGCACCACCCGAGUAAGACUGUAGCAGUGCGAGCAAUGAAUCUGUUUAACGACAAUGUAAUGUCACAUUUCCGCGAAAUCCUUAAAAGGAGGUAAAAGCAAGUGUCACUGGAUAGGUUCCUUGUUAACGUCGUACAAAAAGAAAAAGAUUCCGGCGAGCCAACAGACAGCAGUGAUUCCAUUAGUAACAGUGAAAGUCCC